Molecule: long non-coding RNA, 1085 nt
Filed under: Myripristis murdjan (pinecone soldierfish)
Lineage: Eukaryota; Metazoa; Chordata; Actinopteri; Holocentriformes; Holocentridae
Description: lncRNA (ENSMMDG00005012444.1)
Source: RNAcentral
GAACUCUGGCUGUGACCUGUUACCUUUGUUUCUGGGACGUACACAAGAGCAAAUAUCAGCCUCUUAGAGAACUGUCUGCUUUAAUCUAAAUAAACAGAUUUUUGCACCGACCUUCUCUGUAGUUGUGUGGAAACCAACCUCAGUGGGGAGACAGCUUUGGGGAAGGAGGAAUCGGAUCAAGCUGAUAUGAACAAACAAGCCACCCCCGGUUCAGUAUCCCAUCAUGGCUGCUGUUCCAGGAACAAGAGAUUUGCCAAUCUCAGCUGCCAGUGCUGGGAUUGGCAAAGCGCUGGGAGCCUGUCAUCUGUGCCAUCCAGGAUAUGGACCACUGGGUGCACACCGCUGUGUCCAGCCUGCCGGGCUCUCACCUUGUCACCUCUGCACAGUUUUCUGAAGAUAAGUCUCAGUAAUAGAGAGACUCAGCUGCAUACAGGGAAACUGUCAGAGCAGAUGAAGAUGAAGAGCUGGCUUCUGAGAGAGCCACUACAGUGAUCUUGGCUGUUUCCACAUUAUGUCAAAGCAUGUGCACUUUUGCUGCAAAUACAAACCACUGUAUUGGAAAAGAAAAUGUAUGUCUCCUUUUAAAAUUAUUUAUUUCAAUAAUUUAUUUGUUUACUUAUUUAGAAUCCUUGUGUUCACAGUCAGAGAAAGCACCCUUGGUCACUAUGGAGACUGUUGUGGAUAUGAGCUUUGAUGAUGGUCUGAAAUAGCUGCAGCAGAGAGGAGUGAAGGAUUCUGGGAAGGAGGCAUUCCUGGUUUCAGGUCUGUGACUGCACUCUUUUGGCCCAUGUGGUCUCUGAGGUAGGCGAUAAACAAAAAAAUCUGAUAAAUAAAAGAUGCUGUGCGGUACAUUAAUGAAAUGUUAUAAGCUAACUGUAACCACACUGGAUGCUAUGAGGAAGGACGAUCUCAUGGCCCAAGUAUGAUAAUGCGCAAAACCUCUCUGAGGACUUGACAACUGCUGGAAAAAUCAUCAUGCUGUAGAAAUGUAUCUGCGCUCUCGUUAGAGCAGGGGUCACCAAUCAUGUGCCAUGGAGGGCCGAGAGGCUGCAGGUUUUCAAGACCUCCACCAGGUGACUUCACUG